RNAcentral lists this ribosomal RNA (450 nucleotides) under uncultured bacterium. RNAcentral's name for it is "partial 16S ribosomal RNA". It matches the Rfam family "Bacterial small subunit ribosomal RNA", at positions 354 to 796 of the family's 1533-position model. The record is from RNAcentral.
GUGGGGAAUAUUGGACAAUGGGCGAAAGCCUGAUCCAGCCAUGCCGCGUGUGUGAAGAAGGUCUUCGGAUUGUAAAGCACUUUAAGUUGUGAGGAAGGGCAGUAAGUUAAUACCUUGCUGUUUUGACGUUACCGACAGAAUAAGCACCGGCUAACUUCGUGCCAGCAGCCGCGGUACUACGAAGGGUGCAAGCGUUAAUCGGAAUUACUGGGCGUAAAGCGCGCGUAGGUGGUUCAGUAAGUUGGAAGUGAAAUCCCCGGGCUCAACCUGGGAACUGCAUUCAAAACUGCUGAGCUAGAGUACGGUAGAGGGUGGUGGAAUUUCCUGUGUAGCGGUGAAAUGCGUAGAUAUAGGAAGGAACACCAGUGGCGAAGGCGACCACCUGGACUGAUACUGACACUGAGGUGCGAAAGCGUGGGGAGCAAACAGGAUUAGAUACCCGGGUAGUCC